UAAGACGAAGGUGGCGAGCGUUGUUCGGAAUCACUGGGCAUAAAGCGCACGUAGGUGGCGGCGUAAGUCGGGUGUGAAAUCCCUCGGCCUAACCGAGGAACUGCGCCCGAUACUGCGUCGCUUGAGGGUCAAAGGGGUGUAUGGAAUUCCCGGUGGAGCGGUGAAAUGCGUUGAUAUCGGGAGGAACGCCGGCGGCGAAAGCGGUACACUGGUUGACUUCUGACACUCAUGUGCGAAAGCCAGGGGAGCAAACGGGAUUAGAUACCCCGGUAGUCCUGGCCGUAAACGAUGGGCACUAGGUAGAGGGGUACCAAACGCCUCUCUGCUGGAGUAAAUAUAUUAAGUGCCCCGCCUGGGGAGUAUGGUCGCAAGGCUG
RNAcentral lists this ribosomal RNA (376 nucleotides) under uncultured bacterium. Its description in RNAcentral is "bacterial SSU rRNA". It matches the Rfam family "Bacterial small subunit ribosomal RNA", at positions 521 to 896 of the family's 1533-position model. The record is from RNAcentral.